RNAcentral lists this long non-coding RNA (1537 nucleotides) under Equus caballus (horse). RNAcentral describes it as "lncRNA (ENSECAG00000047973.1)". The record is from RNAcentral. Lineage: Eukaryota; Metazoa; Chordata; Mammalia; Perissodactyla; Equidae.
GCCGAAUGAGAAAAGUGCCUGUUCCUUCGUGGAUUUCGUGACAUUGGAUUUGUGGCUUGGCAGUCCUGGUUCUCAGCUGGGUUCUGGAGAGGCCGGGGUGCCUUCACAGGACACAGGACAUUUGUGGAAACAGAAGGAAGACGGAAGAUUAGACUUCUGGAAGAGUAAGCUGCUCCUAGGUUCGGUAGCCCUAGAUUUCCUCUUUCUUUUCAACAUGUAUUUCUGACCAUUCCAAUGUAAAAUAGCAAUAAAAUUGUACUUUUACAAAUAUGAGACCUCCAAAAGGCAAAACCCCAAGGAAUGUGAAAUUUCACUUUACAGGAGAUUUGUUCAUUACCAGAGUGCUUUUAGAGAUGUAGCACCUUCAGCCACUCACACGCUCCAGCCCUGGAGUCUGUCCCCUCCCUUCGGUUCCCACUCCCUUUACUGGGGUUCUGACCUUUACCAUGUGCCAGGCUCUGGGCUGGGUCCUGGGGUAACAAUGGGGAGCACAAUACAGCUGGGACUCUGCCCUCAUGGAGCUCACUGUCCUCGCCGUAGCUCCAUCCAGCCACAUCCGACAACGGCUGUUUCAACCAAGCCCUGUUCUCUCUACACCUCCCUGUCCCCCGCCCACGUUCUUUCUCUUUCCACUACCAGGGAUGCCCUUUAUUCCCUUCUCCUGGCGAAUUCCCAGAAAUUCUCCGAUCUCAAGUGGCACCACUUCCAGGAAGUCUUCCAUGGUGUACACAGCAGGGACGGGUGCCCUUCUUCUGCUUUCUCAUAGUGCCCUGCAGAAAUUUAUGUCAUGAACUUUGCCAUUCUGAGUUGUAAUAAUCGCUUUCUAUGUCUGUCUUCCUGCUCCAGCUUGGAGCUUCCCAGAAGGCGUGGACAGUGUCUUAUCCAUGUCUGUGUCCCCAGGGUGUAGCUCAGGACUUGGCACACAGUAGAUGCUCAAUACAAGGAGGCCUUGGCAGAGGUGCCUGAAGACACUGCUGCCCCAAGCCUCAGAUAGAGAACCCGGAAUGAAGGAGCCACUGCUAGGAACGCAGUCUGGUGUGAGGAGAGCAGCUUCUCCUGGGAGGCCUGCCAGGAAAGCCUUUAUAGUUGCCUAAGAAAUCACACACGGGUUUUUCAUCAGGAGCCAGACACCUCACUCAUUCAAAGUCCUGACUGGGCAACGGUCCACUUCCAGCUUCACUUGGUCGUGAUUGGCAGGUUUUGGUUCCUCAAGGGGUGUUGGACCAAGAGCCUCAGAUCCUCACUGGCUGUUGCCCAGGGGCUGCCUUCAGUUCUUUGCUGUAUGGACCUUUCCACGUGGCAGCUUGUUUCAUGAAAGCCUGCAAGCUGAGAAGGCGAUAGAGAGCAUAUGCCAGCAAGAUGGAAACUAAUGUCCAGAGAAUAUCAAGAAACUGAAGCUUCCAGGGCCAACUCCUUGACUUCCUGACGUCAGAGUCUACCUUCCACCGUCAGAGUCUACCUUCCACCGUGGAGAUAAGCAGCCAAGGACACUCAUCUGAGAAAUCCUUUGUCUCCUCCACUGGAAGCAGCUGCAGAC